AACAGAGGUGGCCAUUGAGUUCGACUGUUAUCUAUCGACAGAUACAGCACGCCCUGCAAAAAACGCCCAGCUCUGUUAUUAACACCACCCAAGAAAACACAGGACACUAAUAGCAUCAGCAAAACAACCGUCAAGUUGAUAGAUCAGGUCUUAUUAACGAUUCUCAGGCAUGAGAGUGAAAUCUAGAAAUAACUAUGUAACAGGAACCUCUAGACCACAUAGAACAGAAUAAUCAGCUACACGCAUAUAACCCUUAUUUUAAAGACCGGCCAUAUCAAAUCAUCAGAAUCAUUGAGACGUUUAAGUUUUCAAAACAUAAUUCAAAUCUGCAAUCAGUUAGCGAAGAAGAAAGGCAUGCAAAAUCCAGAGCAGAUUUAAAUACCUAAUUCAGUAUUAUGUCGAGAAAAGGGAGAAAACCAACGAACCUUCAAAAGAUGCAGAGAACGAAGACGGGAGUUCUCAGAAACAAACGGAAGGGCGCUGGGCAGAGGAUCAAUCGACGUUGAUGAGACAGCAGCGAAAGGAGGAAGAACGAGGGGAUUUGGGGAUUAAGGAUUGGCUUUAUAAGGGUUUUGUGGGGAGAUCUGUGAUUGGGUUUCUAUGGGAAGACCUAGUGGCGGUGCGGUGAUGGGGUUUUUACUUAUGUUUGUGAAUCGAAUGAAUUGCAGAAGCCUUCCUGCGUCAUUAUAUAGUAGUGACUGGUGAGGAUUGGGGAUUUAGGGUUCCUUUUCCUUCUUUUGGGGGUUGAUUAAUUGGUUUUGGUAGUGAGGGCGAUUUCGUCUUUCAAUAUAAAGGUCGUU
RNAcentral lists this long non-coding RNA (800 nucleotides) under Linum usitatissimum (flax). Its description in RNAcentral is "long non-coding RNA (LUSI_LNC002102)". The record is from RNAcentral. Lineage: Eukaryota; Viridiplantae; Streptophyta; Magnoliopsida; Malpighiales; Linaceae.